CCUGGUGGCCAUAGCGGAGGAGCAACACCCGUUCCCAUACCGAACACGGAAGUGAAGACCUCCAGCGCCGAUGGUACUGCGCGGGCAACUGCGUGGGAGAGUAGGUCGCCGCCAGGU
RNAcentral lists this ribosomal RNA (117 nucleotides) under Candidatus Methylomirabilota bacterium. Lineage: Bacteria; Methylomirabilota (SeqCode). The record is from RNAcentral.